CAUGAGGUCAGGAGUUCAAGACCAGCCUAGCCAACAUGGUGAAACCCCGUCUCUACUAAGAAUACAAAAAUUAGCUGGGCGUGGUGAUGGGCAUCUGUAAUCCCAGCUACUCGGGAGGCUGAGGCAGGAGAAUCACUUGAACCCGGGAGGCAGAGGUUGCAGUGAGCCGAGAUCGCACCCCUGCACUCCAGCCUGGGUGACAGAGCAAGACUCCAUCUCAAAAAAAAUAAAGGAAAUAUGCGUCGUUGGAUGCUGUAUGACAAUCAAGCUACUUAUAACAAACAAAAUUGAGAAUGAAGGAUUAUGAUCCAAACUCAGCUGGGCCUCCCCUCCCUGCCCCAGGAUUGUGGAGUGAGAACGUUGCAGCAGGAGAGAACAACGCAGCAAAGCACAGCAGGGGAACCGGAAAUGCUCACCUUUUGACAGGGUACUUUUAGUUCUGGGGCCUUAUCUUAAGGAUAUUCCAACAUAUACAAAAAGAUUCAUGCACAGAGAUAUGUACUUUAGUAUUAUUUACCAUAGGAAAAAAGUUGGAAACAAUACAUUUUAUGUUCUGUAAAAUGAAAGAACAGUUAAAUAAAUCAUGGCUCUAAGACGACUCCAGGGCUGUGUACGGAAGUUCAGGGACAGAAUCAGUUGAGGCUGUUCCACCUGAGCCUAAGCUUCCUCUGCUGUAUGUCGGGAAUCAGGUGGGGGCCAAGCGAGAUCACCACAGUGCAGGCCAGUGUGCAGGGCACAGGUGGGCACCAGGGAGGGGACGCCGCACAGCCCCAUGCUCUCGCCAAAAACGUGCAGCACAAUUUGGAAGAAAACAUUUCCAUCUGUUAAUAAAGAGCAAGGGCCUCUGGUCAUAAGUGACACAUGACCCUUUGCCUGAGUCUUUUUAAAUUUUUCCAUAUGUUCCAUAUUUUCUACACCAAAU
This 922-nucleotide long non-coding RNA is filed under the name Homo sapiens (human). RNAcentral's name for it is "HSALNT0117418". The record is from RNAcentral. Lineage: Eukaryota; Metazoa; Chordata; Mammalia; Primates; Hominidae.